GGCGACGUAGCUCAGUGGUUAGAGCGGGCGCUUCAUAAGCGCUAGGUCGGAGGUUCAAGUCCCCCCGUCGCCACCA
RNAcentral lists this transfer RNA (76 nucleotides) under Chloroflexota bacterium. RNAcentral's name for it is "tRNA-Met". It matches the Rfam family "tRNA". From Rfam's summary of the family: Transfer RNA (tRNA) molecules are approximately 80 nucleotides in length. The record is from RNAcentral. Lineage: Bacteria; Bacillati; Chloroflexota. RNAcentral also lists the same sequence under 2 other names.